Molecule: transfer RNA, 78 nt
Filed under: Candidatus Heimdallarchaeota archaeon
Lineage: Archaea; Promethearchaeati; Candidatus Heimdallarchaeota
Also listed under: 1 other name
Description: tRNA-Met
Rfam family: tRNA
About the family: Transfer RNA (tRNA) molecules are approximately 80 nucleotides in length. Their secondary structure includes four short double-helical elements and three loops (D, anti-codon, and T loops).
Source: RNAcentral
AGCGCCUUGGGGUAGCGUGGAAAACCCGUCGGGCUCAUAACCCGAAGACCGAUGGUUCAAGUCCAUCAGGCGCUACCA